Molecule: ribosomal RNA, 212 nt
Filed under: uncultured bacterium
Lineage: Bacteria
Description: partial 16S ribosomal RNA
Rfam family: Bacterial small subunit ribosomal RNA
Source: RNAcentral
UGCCUUGUAGCGGGGGAUAACUAUUGGAAACGAUAGCUGAUACCGCAUAACAAUGGAUGACACAUGUCAUUUAUUUGAAAGGGGCAAUUGCUCCACUACAAGAUGGACCUGCGUUGUAUUAGCUAGUAGGUGAGGUAACGGCUCACCUAGGCGACGAUACAUAGCCGACCUGAGAGGGUGAUCGGCCACACUGGGACUGAGACACGGCCCAG